CAGUCGCCGCGGAAUACGCAGGUCCCGAGCGUUGUCCGGAAUUAUUGGGCGUAAAGGGAGCGCAGGCGGGCGAGUAAGUCUUUCUUAAAAGUGCGGGGCUCAACCCCGUGAGGGGAGAGAAACUACUCAUCUUGAGUGCAGGAGAGGAAAGCGGAAUUCCUAGUGUAGCGGUGAAAUGCGUAGAUAUUAGGAAGAACACCAGUGGCGAAGGCGGCUUUCUGGACUGUAACUGACGCUGAGGCUCGAAAGCCAGGGGAGCGAACGGGAUUAGAUACCCCCGUAGUCCCUGUCUCUUAUACAC
RNAcentral lists this ribosomal RNA (301 nucleotides) under uncultured bacterium. Its description in RNAcentral is "partial 16S ribosomal RNA". It matches the Rfam family "Bacterial small subunit ribosomal RNA", at positions 509 to 810 of the family's 1533-position model. The record is from RNAcentral.